UCAGAACUUAUAAUGAAAUUGUUCAAAAAGAGAAAAAAAAUCAUUGUAAAAAUAUAACUUAAUAAAAAAAAUCAUUGUACAAAUAUAACUUAAUUUAUAUAUGGGUGGUGGGGUACGUUGUAGUACGUUUAGUUUACUUUUUGUCUCACGCUACAGUAUCUGAUCUCACCGCCAACGUUGUUUUUUACACUAACCGCAAAUAAACACAUCCAAACCCACCCAAAAUAAA
RNAcentral lists this long non-coding RNA (229 nucleotides) under Gossypium raimondii (Peruvian cotton). Its description in RNAcentral is "long non-coding RNA (GRAI_LNC002479)". The record is from RNAcentral. Lineage: Eukaryota; Viridiplantae; Streptophyta; Magnoliopsida; Malvales; Malvaceae.